RNAcentral lists this long non-coding RNA (642 nucleotides) under Eucalyptus grandis. RNAcentral's name for it is "long non-coding RNA (EGRA_LNC006332)". The record is from RNAcentral. Lineage: Eukaryota; Viridiplantae; Streptophyta; Magnoliopsida; Myrtales; Myrtaceae.
UUUCGAUCGAAACUUCCUGUCCCGUAAAGAGCAGUCAAGAUUAGGUAGUAGGAGAUAUGGUGAAGGUAAGUUAGAUUCAAUCUGAGUGGCACAUAGAACAUAGCUUGAAGAGUGAAGAUGAUGCUUAAGUAAAUGACACCCAUAACCAAAAUAGCAUUCGCCAGCCAGCUGAGUUUGCCGACAAACACUACAAGCUUGCUGUGGAUGCUGGGGACAUUCAAGAGCUACCAACAGUGGUGAUACCAGGGUUCCACACAAGUAGUGCCACUUGAGGGUCAUUGAUUUGUGCAUAGAGGAGCAUCACCAGGGUUCCACACAAGUAGUGCCACUUGAGGGUCAUUGAUUUGUGCAUAGAGGAGCAUGACGACCACGACCAUUGAGUUGAACAUUUGGUGGGGAUUGCAUGCCGAGAAUAAAUGGAACAUAGUCUUCUUUAAUGCAGUGGCAAUGCCAUGGUCUCGUCCAGCACCAGAACUGUUAUACCCUGCUGAAACCGCCAGACCAACGGCCAAAGUCACAGUGGCCAUGAGUGUUGCCAAGAGCAAGCGGGUGUUUACUGGUCCUUCAUGAAGUCUCUUCUUGGAGUUUGGAUUCGUCCCUCUACAAUUUCAUGCUCUCGCUCUGGGAUGAAUAUUACCGAAU